GCCAGGCGCAGUGGCGCAUGCUCGUAUCCCCAGCUACCUAGGAGACUGAGGCUGGAGGAUUGCUUGAGUCCAGGAGUUCUGGGCUGUAGUGAACUAAGUUUGGCAUCAAUAUGGUGAACUCCCUGGAGCAGGUGACCACCAAGAUUCCUAAGGAGUGGUAAACCGGCCCAGGUUGGAAACAGAGCAGGUCAAAACUCCCAUGCUGAUCAGUAGUGGGAUCACAUCUGUGAAUACCCACUGCACUUCAGCCUGGGCAACAUAGCGAAACUCGCUCUUUU
Molecule: unclassified non-coding RNA, 278 nt
Organism: Callithrix jacchus (white-tufted-ear marmoset)
Lineage: Eukaryota; Metazoa; Chordata; Mammalia; Primates; Cebidae
Rfam family: Metazoan signal recognition particle RNA
About the family: The signal recognition particle (SRP) is a universally conserved ribonucleoprotein. It is involved in the co-translational targeting of proteins to membranes.
Source: Ensembl